Molecule: ribosomal RNA, 125 nt
Filed under: Propithecus coquereli (Coquerel's sifaka)
Lineage: Eukaryota; Metazoa; Chordata; Mammalia; Primates; Indriidae
Source: RNAcentral
GUCUAUGGCCAUACCACCCUGAACCCGCCUUAUGUCAUCCGAUCUCGGAAGCUAACCAGGCUUGCGGCUGGUUAGCACUUGGGUGGGAAACACUAUUGCCCAUGUGAAAGACAAAGAAAGAGAAU